This 415-nucleotide ribosomal RNA is filed under the name uncultured bacterium. Its description in RNAcentral is "bacterial SSU rRNA". It matches the Rfam family "Bacterial small subunit ribosomal RNA", at positions 47 to 507 of the family's 1533-position model. The record is from RNAcentral.
CCUAACACAUGCAAGUCGAACGAACCCGUUCGGGGUUAGUGGCGCACGGGUGCGUAACGCGUGGGAAUCUGCCCUUAGGUACGGAAUAACAGUGAGAAAUUACUGCUAAUACCGUAUGAUGUCUUCGGACCAAAGAUUUAUCGCCUAGGGAUGAGCCCGCGUAGGAUUAGCUAGUUGGUGGGGUAAAGGCCUACCAAGGCGACGAUCCAUAGCUGGUCUGAGAGGAUGAUCAGCCACACUGGGACUGAGACACGGCCCAGACUCCUACGGGAGGCAGCAGUGGGGAAUAUUGGACAAUGGGCGAAAGCCUGAUCCAGCAAUGCCGCGUGAGUGAUGAAGGCCUUAGGGUUGUAAAGCUCUUUUACCCGAGAUGAUAAUGACAGUAUCGGGAGAAUAAGCUCCGGCUAACUCCGUG